ACUAUUCCGAAGAUUCUCGUCCCUUUUCCUCGUUUCGAUGAAAUAUGCCAAGUCUGCCAGUGCUUGAUCUACGCUUAGAUAUUGCAAGUUUCUUGAACUAGUGUCUCUAAAGGAUUCGAAAGAUCUCGUUCGAUGACGUUUGAUCGGCGGCGAAUCCUCAUGAUCGAUAGAUCUAUUUCUAUCGAGUUGUUCGUAUCGUUUGUCGCGAGUG
Molecule: long non-coding RNA, 211 nt
Organism: Bombus terrestris (buff-tailed bumblebee)
Lineage: Eukaryota; Metazoa; Arthropoda; Insecta; Hymenoptera; Apidae
Exons: 2
Source: RefSeq, a predicted model, not a curated record